Molecule: transfer RNA, 85 nt
Filed under: Candidatus Nitrosocosmicus franklandianus
Lineage: Archaea; Thermoproteati; Nitrososphaerota; Nitrososphaeria; Nitrososphaerales; Nitrososphaeraceae
Also listed under: 10 other names
Description: Candidatus Nitrosocosmicus franklandus tRNA
Rfam family: tRNA
About the family: Transfer RNA (tRNA) molecules are approximately 80 nucleotides in length. Their secondary structure includes four short double-helical elements and three loops (D, anti-codon, and T loops). Further hydrogen bonds mediate the characteristic L-shaped molecular structure. tRNAs have two regions of fundamental functional importance: the anti-codon, which is responsible for specific mRNA codon recognition, and the 3' end, to which the tRNAs corresponding amino acid is attached (by aminoacyl-tRNA synthetases). tRNAs cope with the degeneracy of the genetic code in two manners: having more than one tRNA (with a specific anti-codon) for a particular amino acid; and 'wobble' base-pairing, i.e. permitting non-standard base-pairing at the 3rd anti-codon position.
Source: Rfam by way of RNAcentral
GCGGGAGUCGCCCAGCUUGGCCAAAGGCGUAAGGUUGAGGGCCUUAUCCCUUAGGGGUUCGUGGGUUCAAAUCCCAUCUCCCGCA